CCUACGGGAGGCAGCAGUGAGGAAUAUUGGUCAAUGGGCGCGAGCCUGAACCAGCCAAGUAGCGUGAAGGAUGACUGCCCUACGGGUUGUAAACUUCUUUUAUAAAGGAAUAAAGUGAGGCACGUGUGCCUUUUUGUAUGUACUUUAUGAAUAAGGAUCGGCUAACUCCGUGCCAGCAGCCGCGGUAAUACGGAGGAUCCGAGCAUUAUCCGGAUUUAUUGGGUUUAAAGGGAGCGUAGAUGGGUUGUUAAGUUAGUUGUGAAAGUUUGCGGCUCAACCGUAAAAUUGCAAUUGAUACUGGCAGCCUUGAGUACAGUUGAGGUAGGCGGAAUUCGUGGUGUAGCGGUGAAAUGCUUAGAUAUCACGAAGAACUCCGAUUGCGAAGGCAGCUUACUAAACUGCCACUGACAUUGAUGCUCGAAAGUGUGGGUAUCGAACAGGAUUAGAUACCCCAGUAGUC
This 460-nucleotide ribosomal RNA is filed under the name uncultured bacterium. RNAcentral describes it as "partial 16S ribosomal RNA". It matches the Rfam family "Bacterial small subunit ribosomal RNA", at positions 338 to 795 of the family's 1533-position model. The record is from RNAcentral.